This 460-nucleotide ribosomal RNA is filed under the name uncultured bacterium. RNAcentral's name for it is "partial 16S ribosomal RNA". It matches the Rfam family "Bacterial small subunit ribosomal RNA", at positions 338 to 795 of the family's 1533-position model. The record is from RNAcentral.
CCUACGGGUGGCAGCAGUGAGGAAUAUUGGUCAAUGGACGAGAGUCUGAACCAGCCAAGUAGCGUGAAGGAUGACUGCCCUAUGGGUUGUAAACUUCUUUUAUAUGGGAAUAAAAUGUUCCACGUGUGGGAUUUUGUAUGUACCAUAUGAAUAAGGAUCGGCUAACUCCGUGCCAGCAGCCGCGGUAAUACGGAGGAUCCGAGCGUUAUCCGGAGUUAUUGGGUUUAAAGGGAGCGUAGGUGGAUUGUUAAGUCAGUUGUGAAAGUUUGCGGUUCAACCGUAAAAUUGCAGUUGAAACUGGCAGUCUUGAGUACAGUAGAGGUGGGCGGAAUUCGUGGUGUAGCGGUGAAAUGCUUAGAUAUCACGAAGAACUCCGAUUGCGAAGGCAGUUCACUGGACUGCAACUGACACUGAGGCUCGAAAGUGUGGGUAUCAAACAGGAUUAGAUACCCCAGUAGUC